Molecule: transfer-messenger RNA, 351 nt
Filed under: Eubacteriales bacterium
Lineage: Bacteria; Bacillati; Bacillota; Clostridia; Eubacteriales
Also listed under: 2 other names
Rfam family: transfer-messenger RNA
About the family: Bacterial tmRNA, also known as 10Sa RNA or SsrA, is named for its dual tRNA and mRNA-like properties. Its role is to liberate the mRNA from a stalled ribosome. To accomplish this part of the tmRNA is used as a reading frame that ends in a translation stop signal.
Source: RNAcentral
GGGGAUGUUUUGGCUUUCGACGGGGGUAUCAGAUUGGUUCUAAGCGAGUCGUGAUUCCAGACCACGUUAAAAUUGGAAACUAAAUAUUAAUUGACAAUAAUCAAUUAGCUUUCGCGGCAUAGUCCGCCAUCACACCGUAACGCCCUUAUAGCCGGGUUCUGUGAUGUAAAGCGCUUACAGGGGCAAGGUAAAUAACUAAGCUUUGCGUUAUUUCCCUAUUUAUGAAGCUACCCAAUGCAAUAGUCUGUGUGUGGACGCUUGCUGAGGGGAAUUUUAAAACACAUACUACACUCGUAGAAAGGGGCCUUGGCGGACUUUCGGACAGGGGUUCAAUUCCCCUCAUCUCCACCA